AGACUUGGACUGCAGAACCAUUUGAGUGCCUAGGUUAGCUCUAAUCCUUGUAACGAUCCUUUAGACUGGUGGUGUUAUUCUGUUCUACUUUAAAGGUAUGGAAACAAACUCAGAGGAAUUGACUUUGCCAAGCUAUCACAACUGGUAAGUAGUAGAACCCAGGACAGAAUCUAUAUCUGUCUGAUUCCUAUACCCAUGUUAUAGCUUCCUAGUUAACCUCCUCUAUAUACACUCCAAUUUGUCAGUGUCUCUUUUUAUAUGUGGCACCCCAAAAUGGACCCAGUACUCAACAAGCAGUCUGACCAGUAAAGAGAACACAAGAACUACAAACUGCCUCAUCUAGACUCAUAUUCUACUAAUUCAGCCAAGACCAUGUUUGCUUUACUGACAAUCUUGGUAUACUAUUGGCUUAAAUUGAGCUUAAAGGCAAUUAAGAUCCAUCCUUUACCCUCCCAAAUCAUCUUCAAAUAAAAUGUUAUAAAGACAGGUUUCCUAAAUCUAUACUUGGGUAACUAAGUUGCUGGGUAUUUUCCCCCCUUAAACACAGGACUUUAUAUUUGUCCCUGUUCUUUUCAGCUGAACAUUCCAGUCUGCUGAGAUCAUCUGCAGUCUUGAUACUGUCAUCGGUUAUUAGCUCUCUUUUCUAGCUUUGUGUCAUCUGCAUAUGUGACAAGCAUGCUUUCUACAUCUUCAUCCAAGUCACUGGGG
Molecule: non-coding RNA, 708 nt
Organism: Ceratotherium simum simum (southern white rhinoceros)
Lineage: Eukaryota; Metazoa; Chordata; Mammalia; Perissodactyla; Rhinocerotidae
Source: RefSeq, a predicted model, not a curated record